UAGGGCGGCCACAGCGGCGAGGUGCCUCCCGUACCCAUCCCGAACACGGAAGAUAAGCUCGCCAGCGUUACGGUGAGUACUGGAGUGCGCGAGCCUCUGGGAAAUUCGUUUCGCCGCCUCCA
This 122-nucleotide ribosomal RNA is filed under the name Natrinema zhouii. The record is from RNAcentral. Lineage: Archaea; Methanobacteriati; Methanobacteriota; Halobacteria; Halobacteriales; Natrialbaceae.